RNAcentral lists this ribosomal RNA (253 nucleotides) under uncultured bacterium. RNAcentral describes it as "partial 16S ribosomal RNA". It matches the Rfam family "Bacterial small subunit ribosomal RNA", at positions 524 to 776 of the family's 1533-position model. The record is from RNAcentral.
UACAGAGGUCCCGAGCGUUGUUCGGAUUCACUGGGCGUAAAGGGUGCGUAGGUGGUGAGGUGUGUCGGAUGUGAAAGCUCGGAGCUCAACUCCGAAAUGGCAUUGGAAACUACCUUGCUUGAGGGUUGGAGGGGGGACUGGAAUACUUGGUGUAGCAGUGAAAUGCGUAGAUAUCAAGUGGAACACCAGUGGCGAAGGCGAGUCCCUGGACAACUCCUGACACUGAGGCACGAAAGCUAGGGGAGCAAACAGG